AACCCAUGGUGAGGGUACCUUCUCAAUAGGUCCUUGUAUCUCUCCCAUGCAUCAGAGUGUCCCUAGAUCCUACACAAAAGAAGAGAUAUCGUUCCUCAAUUU
This is a small nucleolar RNA of Gossypium arboreum, 102 nucleotides long. It matches the Rfam family "Plant small nucleolar RNA R71". From Rfam's summary of the family: R71 is a member of the C/D box family of snoRNAs containing the C (UGAUGA) and D (CUGA) box motifs. Multiple nearly identical copies of this snoRNA have been identified in Arabidopsis, and it is thought to function as a 2'-O-ribose methylation guide for 18S ribosomal RNA. The record is from Rfam. Lineage: Eukaryota; Viridiplantae; Streptophyta; Magnoliopsida; Malvales; Malvaceae.